AAACUAACAAGGAUUCCCCUAGUAGCGGCGAGUGAAGCGGGAAAAGCUCAAAUUUGUAAUCUGGCGUCUUUCAGGCGUCCGAGUUGUAAUCUAUAGAAGUGUUUUCCGUGCUGGACCAUAUCCAAGUCCCUUGGAACAGGGUAUCAAAGAGGGUGACAAUCCCGUACUUGAUAUGGCCACCAGUGCUCUGUGAUACACUCUCUACGAGUCGAGUUGUUUGGGAAUGCAGCUCAAAAUGGGUGGUAAAUUCCAUCUAAAGCUAAAUAUUGGCGAGAGACCGAUAGCGAACAAGUACCGUGAGGGAAAGAUGAAAAGCACUUUGGAAAGAGAGUUAAACAGUACGUGAAAUUGUUGAAAGGGAAACGAUUGAAGUCAGUCGUGUUCUUUGGACUCAGCCGGUUCUGCCGGUUUAUUUCCUUUGAACGGGUCAACAUCAGUUUUGUCCGGUGGAUAAAGGCAGGAUGAAAGUGGCUCCCUCGGGAGUGUUAUAGCUUUCUGUCACAUACACUGGAGGAGACUGAGGACUGCAGCUCGCCUUUUGGCCGGGGUUCGCCCACGUUCGAGCUUAGGAUGUUGACAUAAUGGCUUUAAACGAC
Molecule: ribosomal RNA, 596 nt
Filed under: Vanrija jinghongensis
Lineage: Eukaryota; Fungi; Basidiomycota; Tremellomycetes; Trichosporonales; Trichosporonaceae
Description: partial 26S ribosomal RNA
Rfam family: Eukaryotic large subunit ribosomal RNA
Source: RNAcentral